Molecule: long non-coding RNA, 673 nt
Organism: Teleopsis dalmanni
Lineage: Eukaryota; Metazoa; Arthropoda; Insecta; Diptera; Diopsidae
Exons: 3
Source: RefSeq, a predicted model, not a curated record
UUUAUUUGUUGUUAAUUGUGAUAGUAAUUUCAGAUGUACUCCGUAUGUUACCUUUGCAGAUACGGUGUGGUACUUAUUAUAUUGAAAUUCCACAAUGAGUGAAAUUAAAUUAUGUGUUGAGUGUUAAACGUAGUUUAUUGUGAUGUGUAACUAAAACGUCUUUUGUAGUUACUAGUCUCGAGUUGUUGUUUUUAUUUUCACGAUAUGAUUAGACUUGUGAAACCGCUAGACCACUUUUUUGAAUAAUUUUCAAGUUGUGUUAAAGCUAACACUACCAGUACUACAGUAUAGUUCUCAGAUUUUUAUGCACCAAUUCAAGCGCAGGAAGUGAGUAAACUAUAGAUUGUUUGUUUUGUCUGUGGACGUACCGAGUCAACUGUAGCAUUUAUAGAAAAUGGGAAUUCUUCGGAGGAGAUAUAUGCUGACAUCGAUGUUAUUAUUUCUGAUUGUAAGAUGAAAUCGUUGAUUGGAUACUACAAUAUUAUAAUCAUAGCCAUCAGCAAUACAAACUGUUGACGAAUCAACCAAAAAUUAAGAAUUAGGUCAUAAGUUAAUCGCUCGCACCUGUUGCUUAGUAAUUCAUUUAAGUAAUUAUUGUAUAUCUUGCACUAUAAAAUUAAGUAUGGUUGCAUUUUCCUUUGUAUAAAAGACGAAUAAUUUAAAAUAAAAUCAG